RNAcentral lists this long non-coding RNA (5731 nucleotides) under Oryza sativa (Asian cultivated rice). Its description in RNAcentral is "long non-coding RNA (OSAT_LNC001442)". Lineage: Eukaryota; Viridiplantae; Streptophyta; Magnoliopsida; Poales; Poaceae. The record is from RNAcentral.
CAUGCAGAAUUAGGAUCCACAGAGUAUACAUGUGUACCAUAGCCUGGAGUCUGAUGUAUAGUUGCAGUAGGAGACCAUCUGCUUGGCGGCUUGGGCGAGGCAGGCGUCGCAGUCGCCGCCGGAGACGUCGCCGCGGCACUGCGCGAGGCCGUAGAAGGCGUCGUACCCCCUGCCGGCCUUGGAGGUGGCGAAUCCGCCGCCGGUGCGCGCCUUGGCGACAAGGUCGGAGACGACGAAGUUGAUGCUCCGCCGCCUGACGACGGCAUCGCUGCCGUUGAGAUCGCCGUAGUUCAUCCCCGGCUCCCAGCAGAAGCUGCCGAUGGGAUACGUCGUCGUCGUCGCCGCCAUGGCCAGUGGGAGCAAUGCAGCGGCCAAGAAGACUGUAAGUAGCAGCUGGCUUAAUGCCGCCAUGGAUGGCGCCAAUUGCUCUCAAUUCAGCCUCUUGUUGCUACUGGAGUAGCAGUAGUAGUAGCUAGAGAUUUCAGUAGAGGAGGAUGGCUUUAGCUUGUGUUUGAUUGGGAUCGAAUGGUUGGAGUUUAUAUAGAGGGAGGAUUGGAUGGGGAAGGAGGGAUUGAUCGAUUGAUCAAUGUGCUUGCAGAGUUGCAGUAUGUUAACUGCAGGCGAACAGGUUUCAAAAUCCUUGUUCUAAUUGUUUGCAAACUUGUUUUUGACUACUACUGUUCUAAAGGUUUGCAUGCAGACAUGCAGUGAUUAGAACUGUGGGCGCGAAGCUAUAUUAUUGCACGUACGGAUGACACUCUUGCAGAUAUCGCGGACUAGCUAAGCUAGCUGGCUGAGCUGGCUGCUGGCUGCCUGCUUGCUUGCUAGUACCAUUUCUUGUGGGCUGGCUGUCACUAGUUUUGACUUUUGAGGGAUGAGGUGAUGGAUUGGAUAAACCUAUCAUGUCUCUUCACUCUUCUUCAACCAAACAAACCAUGCAUAUAUUUAGGAUUAAGUGGUCAAUUUACUUAUAUUACAUUGCUCAAUCAAUCCAAAACUAAACAGCCCAUAUAUAUUGAGAAACACAACAUAAAUGUAAGCACUCACAAUUAGUUCGCACGCUCACCCUUAUAAAGAUACACACGCACAUGCUCUAAAAAACUAGCUAUUGUUGUCGACGGGUUAAUCGUCUAUACUGAAAGAAUAAUUAGCUGUAAGUGCGAGCACCCACGUCAAAUCGAGAAUUUGAAUCCAGAUAGCUUAGUUCCAGCAUAAGAAAUCUAACCAGUUGAGUUAUACUCUCACUUCACUGAAGAGCCCAUAUAUAUAUAUAUAUAUUAGUGAUGAGUGAAGAUGAAAAAGCUGAAAAACUAUUCGGUUGCAGCGUUGCAGGACACUGUAUAGUUUGAUUGAGUUUGUUUUCGCUGAAUCUGGUUGGAUGAAAAGCAAAUACACUAUCCAAUGAUUUUGCCAAUUUGCAAAUACUAGUUGAUUCUUAGGCAAAAUCCACUGUAUAUAGUCUCCUGUUUCUGCAGCCAAACAGCCCAAAACCCAGUAGCCCACCGAUCGAGAAUCUAAUUGCCCCCGCAAAAAAAAAAAGAGAAUCUAAUUGCGAACACGUGCAUCGAUCCAAUUCCAAACCUCGUGCGAAUUUGGCGCCAUACCGUUUUUGUCUAACGCUAAUGAUGAUUUAUCUCCUAAAUGAUAUACAUGCAUCCGUACACUCAGCUUGCACGAAUCCUGCGCUUGCAUAUUGGGCCUAUUUCAAUUGCCAAUUUAGGCCCAGUAAACAGAAAGUGCAUAGAAUAUUUCUUUUUCCUUUCUAACUUGUUUUUUCAAUUCAAUGUAAAACAUCUAUAAAAUGUAUUAUAAUAGAAGUUUUUUUUCUUAAAGUCCUUUGCAAAGUUUGUAAGUAGAAAGUUUCUUUAUUAUUCAUAAAUUAUCUAGGUGGGAAGUUUACUGCUUACACAAAGUUUUUGAGUGAAACAUUUACUAUCUAUAUACAUAAUGUAUUCUGAUCAAGUAGAAAGUCUGCUAUUUCUGUGGAAAUUUCCCUGGUGUUUAGAUGAUUAUAUACCAAAUAUUCCUUUUGAAAACGAAUGCAUAAUUAAGCGUGAUGGGUUCAAUCGCGUGAAAUGCUAGUUGUUCAAGGGAGUGGAUUCUAACUCUCGACGAGACAUCCCCUCGUUGUUUACAUGUCAUCCAAAUAAUUAUGAAAAAAAUAAAACAAGAUAGAUUAAUAUGUGAUAAAUCACUCCACAAACAUAGUUAAAAUUUAACUUUUACAAGUUGCAACGAAAAAACAAAUUAAACUAUUGCUAACUUGUACUCAAAUUUGUUUUUUUUUUCAUUGCAACUUGUAGAAGUUAAAUUUAACCUCUCGCUGCAGCCACAUGGCAAGGGGCGGCGCUUCACGACUGGAUUGGGCCUUCACGGCCGGAUCUGGUUAUGCAAUGCGGUAGUGGCCGGAUCUAGCCGAGGUCGAGUAGGAGGUGUGUCGCGGCUGGCAGCUGCAGGAUGUCGGCCUCGGGCACUGGCUAACGGCAGCAAGAGGCCGAUCACGGGCGAGGUCGCGGUCGGCACGGCCAACAGCGAUAGGAGGGAGGCCGCGGGCAUGGCGUGGAGCGGUGCGUCUGGCCGGUGGCGGCAGGAGGGCGGCCGCGGGCAUGGCGUGGCGCGGUUGCGAUUGUGGAGGUUAGUGAGGACGACGGUGAGCGCUUACCGCCCGCACCGACAGCUAGGGAUGGGCAUUCGGUCUAACCGAAAAUUUCGGUCUCGGUCUUCGGUCUUUUGGUCUUUGAAAAGUGAAGACUGAAUUUCAGCGAAAAAAUGUCAGGACCGACAAAUUCGGUCUCAGUCUUUUCGGUCUCGGUCUCGGUCCUGACCGAAAUUCAACAACAUUUUCAUAUAUGAAAAGAAAUAAUAGAAAUUUUCAACACAAAAAUCACAAAAAAAAAAUCGUAAGCACUUAUGAGUAAAGACUCUUAUUAGGUUUCAUGCCUAGAAGAAGUAGGGAUGUGAAAAUUAGAGUUUAAUCCUAUUAAACAUAGUGGAUUGUAGGUUGUAUUUAGAUAUUUUUUUUGAUAAUUCAGUCUAUUCGGUUACCCGAGGAGACUAACCGAAUUAACUGAACAAAAUUCGGUCUUUCACUGCCUAGGACCGAAUUGAUGACCGAAUUUCUUGGUCUCGAUCUCGGUCUUUUCGGUUCGGUCUUUUUCUGCCCACCCCUACCGACAGCGGGGGCUAGUAGCAAUGCCGUGGCAAAUAUGUGAGCUUCCGGAGUCAGUUCGUUCUUGCUAGCUAGCCAUUUCCAUCUCCUUCUCCAGGAAACACCUCCCCGGCUAUGGUCGACUCCUUUCGAUUGUGGGGAGCUCUUUUGGUGAGAUGUCGGCAAUGGCGUUUGGAGGACGAUGAUGGUGAUGGGGCUUUUGUCGUGCUGGUCAGCAAUGGGAGCCGCGAGGUUCCCCAUGACCUGCUGGCGAACCGGUGGUAAUGGCGGCUCCAUUUCUUAGGGGACGAUGGUGGCUACAAUUUAGGAUAGAAGGACAACUUGGCACGAUGUGGUUAAAAGUGCUUGCUUGCACACUUGAGAGCGGGCGCAACAUCGGUGGUGGAACUGUCCUCACAGCACAUUGGUGGAGGCCAAGGCGAAAGCAUGGACGCUACGGGCAUCGUCGUUUACUCGUUGGAGGCGUCCUUUUUGUCUCCUCGUCAUGCCGUGUUUGGAUUUUGUGGGUGUAAACCUAGCCCAAGAUGAUGGUGGCGUAUAGCUUGACGUCGUGCCUCCUGAAGGCAUAUUAAUCCUUGGCAAUUUCAUAAUCAUGCUCCACUUUGUUAUGGACGGCCUUUGAGAAGUCGGAGCUGCUGCGUCGAGGUGGUUGAUGAGUUUGGCAACAAUAUAAAUCGGAAGUUGGAGCUGCUGUGCAGGUGCGAAUUUGGCAAUGAUGACCCAAGUAGGACCUCGCCCUUUGAGUUUUCGCUCUAGUGUGGGGUAGCAAUGCAAGCUUGUUGGUCGGCAAGCCUUUCCUGGCCUUAGCGUUUCCUAGCGAAGUUGGAGUCGCCUGUGAUGGUGUGAUGACAAUAACGUUGCGUAUCUGCCUUUGCGAGGAGCCUUGUUUAAUCUUCCAACUUGCUACUUCAUUUUGCAAGGUUUGUGGUGAAUAGCAUUUGUUGAACCUGGCUUUUCUGUUUUUCAUAGCCUUGUAGUUAAGAUUUGCCAUUUUCUGUUUGGUACAAUAGUUGUGGUUUUCACAUAGUUUUUCCUAAUUAACAAUGUAAUAUAAAGUUUGGUCUCGUUUUCUUCUUAAAAUGAGACAAAUACUUCUUUAUAUAAAUGUCGGCAAUGGCAUGACCUUUUUUUCUAAAAAAAAAACUAUUUGUUCACACGCGCGUACAUCAUACCUCAGUACACAUCUUUAUUUAUUCCAAACUAGCAGCAUACUAAUUAAGAAUCAAUACAGCUUAUAAAUAUAUAGCCUACAACACAUGAUUUAUUAUUGAAAUAAAACAUCAUUAGAAAUACUUGUUCCGGGACAGAUCUCAGGUACGCAUAACAUAACUAUACUGCUAUGCGUUACAACGUGUGUAUGCUUGCAUGUAUGCAAUAUCGUAUUGUACUAUACACGCAGCCUAUAUAUAUGCGAGAUUUAUUCAAUGCAUCGUGACCUUGGUGUACUUUGUCAAGUCGGUGGGGGCCUGCCUGUUGGCCUCGAGUGGAAAAUAGAACGGGUAGAUCUCGUAGCGCACCCAACAGCUACUAUAGUCAAUCUGGCACCCCUGCCCACUGCCGCAGGCCUCGGCAAACUUGGAAACCGUCGUUGACAGGCAUUGUGCGCACAGUGGUGGUGCCAGAUCCCGCGUGCAUUGUGCCAACGCAUAGACGUUCACGAAUGAUGUGCACUGCUCCUUCGCUCUGCCCAGCCCACCGCUACCCAUCGUGACAGCAUGCGCUACCGCUUUCCCCGUCGCCUUUCCUACUGCCUUCUGGAACGCCAUGGGGUUGUCCAUAUCCGGCCAUUGCCUCAGGGUCACACUUGCGUCUGUCCUCGUGUCCAUCUCCCCAAAGAAGUUGAAGUCAACGUACCGCAUGAAGCAGUACUCAUACCUGCAAGUACAUAUGUACAUUGCCCGCACAAGCACAUAAACAAAAGAACGUUAAACAACCAGCAUGUAAAAUCUAUAAUUUUUGCCACUCAAGUUUGCUCUCCGGUUCCUUCAAUUUUGAUGUUUUGGAUAAUAACACGGUCUAAAAAACAUAUCUUUCAACUAUAAUUUAUUUUAUUAUAAUAUACCCAAAAUAUAAGUAAACUUUUAAUUUUAUUUAAGCACUUCUUAAAAACCGAUCUAUACAUUAUGUUCUAGUGUUCUCAAACUAAAUAUUUUAAAGAUCACUAAUAGUUAAAGUUUAAAUUGUUUGACCUUAAUUUUAUCCAAAACGUUGAAAAUUAUAGAACCGAAGAGACUAUAUGACAUGUAGAAUUAUGACACACGCAUACCAUAUUCUGGAGUCUAAUGUAUAGUUGCAGUUGGUGACCAUCUGUUUGGCGGCUUGGGCGAGGCAGGCGUCGCAGUCGCCGCCGGAGACGUCGCCGCGGCACUGCGCGAGGCCGUAGAAGGCGUCGAUGCCCCUGCCGGCGGAGGAGGUGGCGAAUCCGCCGCCGGCGCGCGCCUUGGCGGCGAGGUCGGAGACGACGGAGUUGAUGCUGCGCCGCCUGGCGAUGGCCUCGCCGCUGCUCAUCUCGUUGUAGCUCGGAUUCCAGCAGAAGGUGCCAAUGGGAGACAUCGAUAUCGU